Molecule: long non-coding RNA, 503 nt
Organism: Oxyura jamaicensis (ruddy duck)
Lineage: Eukaryota; Metazoa; Chordata; Aves; Anseriformes; Anatidae
Exons: 3
Source: RefSeq, a predicted model, not a curated record
AGCUGAGGGGAGUUUCUGAGGGACGGGCAGUAAGGAAUUGAGGUGAGGUUCUGAGGGAAAGGCGGGAGCGAGCUGAGGGGAAGUUCUGAGGGAGAGGCGUGAAAAAGCUGAGGGGAAUUUCUGAGGAAUAGGCCUCCUAUUACAAGGGCAGAGAUGUUUUGUGUUGAAGGCACUGGGAGACUGGAAAGGCCUCAGAGAAGAACAAGAAGAGGCUAUCUUGCUAUGCCUAAACUGUAGUCCUGCGUACAUGUGUGUGAACCUCCAUGGUUGUUCAUGGCGUCUCCCAGGAGCAGCCCCAGUCCUGAUUCCUCAUUCCAGUACGUAGUGUGUGCUACUGAGUGCAAGGUACCGCUGUGAGGAGUGUCCCCACCUGUUGGACCAGCAAGUGUAGCUCUGCAGGUAAGAAAAAGUUUCUCUGCUGAUGUAAAUUGAAUGCAAAAGAGCAAACCUAGUUCUGUGGCAGAAAUGUUCUAGUUCUGUGUUUAGAGUGAGGUGACAUGAAU